AGCGAACGCUGGCGGCAGGCUUAACACAUGCAAGUCGAGCGGGCACUUUCGGGUGUCAGCGGCGGACGGGUGAGUAACGCGUGGGAACGUGCCCUCUGGUUCGGAAUAACUCAGGGGAACUUGAGCUAAUACCGGAUACGCCCUUUUGGGGAAAGGCUUGCUGCCGGAGGAUCGGCCCGCGUCUGAUUAGCUAGUUGGUGGGGUAACGGCGUACCAAGGCGACGAUCAGUAGCUGGUCUGAGAGGAUGAUCAGCCACACUGGGACUGGGACACGGCCCAGACUCUUACGGGAGGGAGCAGUGGGGAAUAUUGGACAACGGGCGCAAGCCUGAUCCAGCCAUGCCGCGUGAGUGAUGAAGGCCUUAGGGUUGUAAAGCUCUUUUAUCCGGGACGAUAAUGACGGUACCGGAGGAAUAAGCCCCGGCUAACUUCGUG
Molecule: ribosomal RNA, 435 nt
Filed under: uncultured bacterium
Lineage: Bacteria
Description: partial 16S ribosomal RNA
Rfam family: Bacterial small subunit ribosomal RNA
Source: RNAcentral